This is a long non-coding RNA of Pongo pygmaeus (Bornean orangutan), 795 nucleotides long. RefSeq lists it as uncharacterized. The transcript has 6 exons. NCBI's taxonomy places the organism in Eukaryota, Metazoa, Chordata, Mammalia, Primates, Hominidae. The record is from RefSeq and is a predicted model, not a curated record.
AACAUAUACUUCAUGGAAAAUUGUGAAGUACCUGAAUGAUUAAGUAAAUGAAAUGCAGAAAGCAAGAAUUAUAGAGGAUUAGGUGUCUGUUUUUUAAAAUAUCGACUCUGCUUUGUUUUCCUCAGAAUGGGUGCACUUGAGCAGAUUGAAACAUUCCUCCUUGCAUCUUUGUUCUAUGAUUGCAUCUAUUUGUUAGUAGCAUAGAGACCAAUAAUGGACAUCCUUGUUCUGUCUUGAGAAUUCCUCUAGGGUCACAUGCUCUGUUUGCACCGUGCUUAGGAAGGAGCAUGCAGACCAAUAAUAGAUGGCUUGUGCUGAUGGAAGGAUUCCUCCCUGGUGACAUGCUGUGUCUGCCUCUUGAUUGGGAGCACGCAGACAUACAAUGAUGUACUUUUUAUGAUUUGAGAAUUCCUCCAUGGUCACGUGCUCUGUUUUUAUCAUGGUUGGGAGCUUACAGACCAAUAAGGGACAUGCCUUUGCUGAUUUGAGGAUUCCUCUGAGGUCGGGAGCUAAGUUUGCACCAUGCUUAGAAAGGAGUGUGCAGACCUGUAAUGAUUGCACUUUGCUGAUUGAAGGAUUCCUUCAAGUCCAUGUGCUCCACUUGCACCAUUUUUAGGAUGGAGCCCGGAGACCUAUGUAUGUAAUAGUGGAAGUCCUCACCUAGCUUUGGGUGGUUUGUUCAAGAGGGUUCAAUGUAUUAUAAAAAGGUGUAUAUUAUAAUCAAAGAUGAGCAAUUGUAUUUAAAUGAACAUGGGCAUGAUGUGAGGAUUAUAUUGAAGAUGUAUACAUGAGAAA